ACAAUUAGCAGUCUUGAUUCAGAUGACUGCAGCACAUCAUCAACAGCAGAGAAGGGUCACUUUGUGGUGUACACCACUGACGAAAAACGUUUUGUGCUUCCCUUGGAUUACCUUAACAAUGAAAUUGUUAAAGAGCUAUUCAAUCUAGCAGAAGAAGAGUUUGGAUUGACAAGCAAUGGACCUCUCACGUUGCCAUGUGAUGCUGCCUUUAUGGAAUAUGCAAUCACCAUGAUCAAGAAGAAUGUGGCUAAAGAUGUUGAGAAAGCAUUGCUGAUUACCUUAGCUCGCAAUCGAUGCUCAUCAUCUUUGAAUUUUCAUCAUGAUGUAACAAAUCAACAGUUGUCAAUUCUUAGCUUUUGAAAUGCAUUACAAAGUUAAUAUACACAUUUAUAAGUUCAUUAAAUUCCAGAAUUUUUGCUUCUGUUUAUAUGUUCUUCCAUAGUUAAUAUUCAAGAAUUUAAAUCCAAAACAUAUUACUUCCUGUAAAAGCAACUACAUCACUGACAGGUGAUCUCUCUACGCAGACCUAAUUUCGUUUCAAAGAUUUUCUAGUUCUUUUUUGUAAAGAAAGUAAUACAGUUAUUGGAAUUCUACAUCAUAAAUUUCAACAAGUUCUUCUCCCCAAAAUUUUAUCUCAAAGGUUAAUAAGAGAUGGCAUUUGUGAAUCGAUGCUUAAUGGUUACACAGAAAAGGCAUUCUUAAAUCUUAACCGCAGCUUUUUAAAAUGCAGAAGAUUUUGAAAACAAUUUAUGGACUGUGACUGUAAGGAAGUUUUGUCAAUUUAACUUUGGUUUGAUGAUGAAUAUAAUUUGUGAAGCGAUGAUGGUUUUUUGUUGCUGGAUUAUUUUGACUACCAGUAGCUGGAUCAUCAAACAGAAAACAUGGUGCGCAGUGAGAAGACAGGAGCCAGCCAAUCCUGUCUGACUGAUAGAUGCAACACGAAAAAAAAUAGACAAAUGGGAAUGAGAAAAGGUAAAUACAUGAUUAUAUUUAAUUAUCAGUACAAAUAACACCCCAUUUGAUGCAUCCCAUGUUCUAUACAGAAAUCUGCAGUCCUGUCAAGUACUCAACUGGCACAUAAUAUCCGUAGUCAAGGUACAGUAUGGAUGAUUUUAUGCCUUUGGGACAAAUUCUCUUCAUCUCUUACCUGAAAGUCUGGCGACCAGUCGAUCACUUUUGUCACUUAGACUUUGCUUUUUAGUUAUAGGAGACAAAGUAAUGUGAGAUUCUCAACAGUACACAGACAAGGCAAUCUAAUAAAUGGAUUAGUGUGUCUGUAAACCCAUUAAAGUAGGCUUGGUUGAACCACAUAUUUCCUGUUUGGUAGCUCCUCCGGAAUGGGUCCAACAUGCCUGUGUCUUGAACGUGCUUAGGAUUAAUUUUUGUGGAUCACAAAGUUUGAUGGAAGCUAGGAUCAUGAGACAUCAAAUCUGGUCCUAUUUUAUUGCUAAACCACUUGGCCAUAAACAUAGAUAUAUGCAUACCUUCCAUGCUCAAACUUGAUGUGCUGUUAUUCAAGGGGAAUAGGGAAACAUGUUCACCUCCCCAGCAACCCUACAUAAACCCACCUGUCACGUGGUUUUGCAUUGCUUGACUGCCUGGACUGUUGAAAGUAUUUAUGAAUUGUCUCUGGCCUUGUGUAUAUAUAACCAACCCACUUCCGUUUCCCUCUAUCCAAAGCAAGAUUAAGAUUUUGAUAUUACAAGAUCUAAACAUCUCCUUUCUUAGUUUCAUCAGCCUCAAGAUGAUCAGUGCCAAGAAGCUCGUCAAAUUGGCAAGAAAAUGGCAGAAACUGGCUGCCAUUAGUAGAAAAAGGCUCCCGUUUCCGCAAACAGUUAGCAGUCUUGAUUCAGAUGACUGCAGCACGUCAUCAACAGCAGAGAAGGGUCACUUUGUGGUGUACACCACUGACGAAAAACGUUUUGUGCUUCCCUUGGAUUACCUAAACAAUGAAAUUGUUAAAGAGCUAUUCAAUCUAGCAGAAGAAGAGUUUGGAUUGACAAGCAAUAGACCUCUCACCUUGCCAUGUGAUGCUGCCUUCAUGGAAUAUUCAAUCACCAUGAUCAAGAAGAAUGUGGCUAAAGAUGUAGAGAAAGCAUUGCUGAUUACCUUAGCUAGCAAUCGAUGCUCAUCAACUUUGUAUCCUCAUCAAGAAGUCAGA
RNAcentral lists this long non-coding RNA (2161 nucleotides) under Populus tremula. RNAcentral's name for it is "long non-coding RNA (PTRE_LNC002876)". Lineage: Eukaryota; Viridiplantae; Streptophyta; Magnoliopsida; Malpighiales; Salicaceae. The record is from RNAcentral.